RNAcentral lists this ribosomal RNA (253 nucleotides) under uncultured bacterium. Its description in RNAcentral is "partial 16S ribosomal RNA". It matches the Rfam family "Bacterial small subunit ribosomal RNA", at positions 524 to 776 of the family's 1533-position model. The record is from RNAcentral.
UACGGAGGGGGCAAGCGUUAUCCGGAUUUAUUGGGCUUAAAGGGUCCGUAGGCGGUUCUGUAAGUCAGUGGUGAAAUCUCAUAGCUUAACUAUGAAACUGCCAUUGAUACUGCAGGUCUUGAGUAAGGUAGAAGUAGCUGGAAUAAGUAGUGUAGCGGUGAAAUGCAUAGAUAUUACUUAGAACACCAAUUGCGAAGGCAGGUUACUAUGUCGUAACUGACGCUGAUGGACGAAAGCGUGGGGAGCGAACAGG